CAAAAACAUAGCUAUAAGGGCUUGUUUAUAGUGCUUUCUGCACAAUGUUACUAUAAAUUGCCGCAGUACCCUGACUGUGCUAAGGUAGCAUAAUCAUUUGGCUUAUAAUUGAAGUCUAGUAUGAACGAAGUUAUGGGGGUAGGCUGUUUCAAACAAGUAGUUCUAAUUUGCCUGGGGGGUGAAAAUGCCCUCGCAUAGAUAAAAGACGAGAAGACCCUUGAAAUUUUGAGCACACUAGUUCAGGUUUGUAUUUUUGUUGGGGCGACAAAGUAGCAUACAACCUACUGAUUUGCAUGGGCAACGUUUAGGUGGAAAAAUUAAAUUACUCUAGGGAUAACAGCAUAAUAUUUUGAAGUUUGUGACCUCGAUGUUGGACUAGGAAAAUAUAGUUUAGAAGACGACUAUGCUUGCUCUGUUCGAG
RNAcentral lists this ribosomal RNA (421 nucleotides) under Bradybaena similaris. RNAcentral describes it as "partial 16S ribosomal RNA". It matches the Rfam family "Bacterial large subunit ribosomal RNA", at positions 1808 to 2585 of the family's 2925-position model. The record is from RNAcentral. Lineage: Eukaryota; Metazoa; Mollusca; Gastropoda; Stylommatophora; Camaenidae.